UGGGGAAUAUUGGACAAUGGGGGAAACCCUGAUCCAGCCAUGCCGCGUGAGUGAAGAAGGCCCUAGGGUUGUAAAGCUCUUUCGACGGGGACGAUGAUGACGGUACCCGUAGAAGAAGCCCCGGCUAACUUCGUGCCAGCAGCCGCGGUAAUACGAAGGGGGCAAGCGUUGUUCGGAUUUACUGGGCGUAAAGGGCGCGUAGGCGGAUUCGUAAGUCAGAGGUGAAAGCCCUGGGCUCAACCCGGGAAUGGCCUUUGAGACUGCAAGUCUUGAGUGCGAGAGAGGGUGGCGGAAUACCCAGUGUAGAGGUGAAAUUCGUAGAUAUUGGGUAGAACACCGGUGGCGAAGGCGGCCACCUGGCUCGCAACUGACGCUGAGGCGCGAAAGCGUGGGGAGCAAACAGG
This 404-nucleotide ribosomal RNA is filed under the name uncultured bacterium. Its description in RNAcentral is "bacterial SSU rRNA". It matches the Rfam family "Bacterial small subunit ribosomal RNA", at positions 355 to 776 of the family's 1533-position model. The record is from RNAcentral. RNAcentral also lists the same sequence under 1 other name.